This 29-nucleotide non-coding RNA is filed under the name Homo sapiens (human). Lineage: Eukaryota; Metazoa; Chordata; Mammalia; Primates; Hominidae. The record is from RNAcentral.
UCUAUGACAAUGCGGUCCAGGGUCUACGC